GACGAACGCUGGCGGCGUGCUUAACACAUGCAAGUCGAACGGAAAGGCCCUGCUUUUGUGGGGUGCUCGAGUGGCGAACGGGGGAGUAACACGUGAGUAACCUGCCCUUGACUUUGGGAUAACUUCAGGAAACUGGGGCUAAUACCGGAUAGGAGCUCCUGCUGCAUGGUGGGGGUUGGAAAGUUUCGGCGGUUGGGGAUGGACUCGGGGCUUAUCAGCUUGUUGGUGGGGUAGUGGCUUACCAAGGCUUUGACGGGUAGCCGGCCUGGGAGGGUGGCCGGCCACAUUGGGACUGAGAUAUGGCCCAGACUCCUACGGGAGGCAACGGUGGGGAAUAUUGCACAAUGGGCGGAAGCCUGAUGCAGCAACGCCGCGUGCGGGAUGACGGCCUUCGGGUUGUAAACCGCUUUCGCCUGUGACGAAGCGUGAGUGACGGUAAUGGAUGAAGAAGCACCGGCUAACUACGUG
Molecule: ribosomal RNA, 468 nt
Filed under: uncultured bacterium
Lineage: Bacteria
Description: partial 16S ribosomal RNA
Rfam family: Bacterial small subunit ribosomal RNA
Source: RNAcentral